This 445-nucleotide ribosomal RNA is filed under the name uncultured Methanolinea sp. RNAcentral describes it as "bacterial SSU rRNA". It matches the Rfam family "Archaeal small subunit ribosomal RNA", at positions 896 to 1338 of the family's 1478-position model. Lineage: Archaea; Methanobacteriati; Methanobacteriota; Methanomicrobia; Methanomicrobiales; Methanoregulaceae. The record is from RNAcentral.
UGCGGUUUAAUUGGACUCAACGCCGGGCAGCUCACCGGAUAAGACAGCUGGAUGAUAGCCGGGCUGAAGACUCUGCUUGACUAGCUGAGAGGAGGUGCAUGGCCGUCGUCAGUUCGUACUGUGAAGCAUCCUGUUAAGUCAGGCAACGAGCGAGACCCACGCCAACAGUUGCCAGCAUGUCCUCCGGGAUGAUGGGGACACUGUUGGGACCGCCUCUGCUAAAGAGGAGGGAAGGGAAUGGGCAACGGUAGGUCAGCAUGCCCCGAAUUAUCCGGGCUACACGCGGGCUACAAUGGUCAGGACAAUGGGUAUCGACACCGAGAGGUGGAGGCAAUCUCCUAAACCUGUCCUUAGUUCGGAUUGUGGGCUGCAACUCGCCCACAUGAAGCUGGAAUCCGUAGUAAUCGCGUUUCAAAAUAGCGCGGUGAAUAUGUCCCUGCUCCUU